RNAcentral lists this unclassified non-coding RNA (313 nucleotides) under Lichenomphalia sp. RNAcentral's name for it is "partial contains 5.8S ribosomal RNA, internal transcribed spacer 2, and large subunit ribosomal RNA". The stretch from base 1 to 52 matches the Rfam family "5.8S ribosomal RNA", at positions 103 to 154 of the family's 154-position model. Lineage: Eukaryota; Fungi; Basidiomycota; Agaricomycetes; Agaricales; Hygrophoraceae. The record is from RNAcentral.
AACGCACCUUGCGCCCUUUGGUAUUCCGAAGGGCAUGCCUGUUUGAGUGUCAUUUAAUUCUCAACCCAAAAAGCUUUUACGAGCUCUUUUGUGGCUUGGAUGUGGGGGUUUUUGCUGGCUUCCUUCAGUGGAUGGUCUGCUCCCCUUAAAUGCAUUAGUGGGAUCUCUUGUGGACCGUCACUUGGUGUGAUAAUUAUCUAUGCCAUGCGACUUUGAAGCAAACUUUAUGGGAACCUGCUUAUAACCGUCCCUCACAAGGACAACUUAUUGACAUUUUGACCUCAAAUCAGGUAGGACUACCCGCUGAACUUAA